Molecule: long non-coding RNA, 210 nt
Filed under: Mytilus galloprovincialis (Mediterranean mussel)
Lineage: Eukaryota; Metazoa; Mollusca; Bivalvia; Mytilida; Mytilidae
Source: RNAcentral
AACUCUUUGAGGGGUCCGUAGGUGGCCUGUUGCAAGGCAAAAUUUCUGUCUCUAUCCAAUAUACCCUCAUUUUCCAGUGGCAGUCCAAAUUUCCCCGACCAUCAUCCUAGAUGGCCUCUAUUACAACAACCUACCUAUUGUAUUUAUUGUGAACUUGUUCUCGUCCUGAAUAUGCAUGAAAUAUUUGCCACUGGACGUUAAGCAACCAAC